Molecule: ribosomal RNA, 822 nt
Filed under: uncultured Micrococcus sp.
Lineage: Bacteria; Bacillati; Actinomycetota; Actinomycetes; Micrococcales; Micrococcaceae
Description: bacterial SSU rRNA
Rfam family: Bacterial small subunit ribosomal RNA
Source: RNAcentral
UGGGCGAUGCCUGAUGCAGCGACGCCGCGUGAGGGAUGACGGCCUUCGGGUUGUAAACCUCUUUCAGCAGGGAAGAAGCCACAAGUGACGGUACCUGCAGAAGAAGCGCCGGCUAACUACGUGCCAGCAGCCGCGGUAAUACGUAGGGCGCAAGCGUUGUCCGGAAUUAUUGGGCGUAAAGAGCUCGUAGGCGGUUUGUCGCGUCUGCUGUGAAAGCCCGGGGCUUAACCCCGGGUGUGCAGUGGGUACGGGCAGACUAGAGUGCAGUAGGGGAGACUGGAAUUCCUGGUGUAGCGGUGGAAUGCGCAGAUAUCAGGAGGAACACCGAUGGCGAAGGCAGGUCUCUGGGCUGUUACUGACGCUGAGGAGCGAAAGCAUGGGGAGCGAACAGGAUUAGAUACCCUGGUAGUCCAUGCCGUAAACGUUGGGCACUAGGUGUGGGGGACAUUCCACGUUUUCCGCGCCGUAGCUAACGCAUUAAGUGCCCCGCCUGGGGAGUACGGCCGCAAGGCUAAAACUCAAAGGAAUUGACGGGGGCCCGCACAAGCGGCGGAGCAUGCGGAUUAAUUCGAUGCAACGCGAAGAACCUUACCAAGGCUUGACAUAUACCGGAUCGUUCCAGAGAUGGUUCUUCCCCUUUGGGGUCGGUAUACAGGUGGUGCAUGGUUGUCGUCAGCUCGUGUCGUGAGAUGUUGGGUUAAGUCCCGCAACGAGCGCAACCCUCGUUCCAUGUUGCCAGCACGUGAUGGUGGGGACUCAUGGGAGACUGCCGGGGUCAACUCGGAGGAAGGUGGGGAUGACGUCAAAUCAUCAUGCCCCUUA